UUUGGAUUAAUUCUGAUAUAAUAACUGUUGGUUUAUUUAUCGGUGGAGCAGUAGAACAUUUUCCACAGACAGUUUUCCUGCCCGUUGGCUUGUUUUAACCAGUUUUCUACCUUCGGCUGAUUCUACCAGCAGACACUGAAAGGACUCUAAUAGUUCAAGUGAAAGUAGCAGUUCCUCCUUAAGGUCAGAGAUUGCAGCAUCUGAGGGCCUCUUCAAAAGAAGACGUAGUUGAUGAAGACGUUCUGGAGCAGGACCAGAAAGACCACGACCAAGCAGCCUUGAGAUCUUAGGCAGCGUCUCCCUCAGGUCCCUCUCUAUCUCCCCACACAUCCACCAACCACUGGAACACAUCUCCAAAGUUCUGCCGGACCAGCUCAGCUUCCGCUCAGAAGAAGUGCUGCCACCUGCCAGAUGAAGGAGCCUUUUGAGAGGCAGCUGGCAUCGUGAUUGGACUGUACUUUGGUCUGUUCCAAUCCAGCUUCAGCUCCAGAGACGGCAGGCGGGACGAGUCAACGGAGGCCGGGUGGACGAAGGCAUGCAGCUGAGUAUUCGAGUUUUUGACAUAGCAUACUAUGGCGUUUUUUUGCACCAAAAUUCAUGAUGAUUUUUUUUUUAAAAGAAAACCUUACCAUAGUGUUUUUGACGGCCUUCUUUAAAUUAUUUCAUCAUAUGGCACGUUUUUACAUGUUGAAAAAUGACAUUUUUCGACAUAGUAUACUAUGGCGUUUUUUCGCGCCAAAAUUCAUGAUGAUUUUUUUUUUUCAAAGAAA
Molecule: long non-coding RNA, 770 nt
Organism: Amphiprion ocellaris (clown anemonefish)
Lineage: Eukaryota; Metazoa; Chordata; Actinopteri; Pomacentridae
Source: Ensembl